UGCAAGGGAUAAUCCGCCUCA
This 21-nucleotide non-coding RNA is filed under the name Arabidopsis thaliana (thale cress). The record is from RNAcentral. Lineage: Eukaryota; Viridiplantae; Streptophyta; Magnoliopsida; Brassicales; Brassicaceae.